UCAACGACGAUCUUUGGCCAGGU
Molecule: non-coding RNA, 23 nt
Filed under: Arabidopsis thaliana (thale cress)
Lineage: Eukaryota; Viridiplantae; Streptophyta; Magnoliopsida; Brassicales; Brassicaceae
Source: RNAcentral